UAAAAAUAAAGUCAUAAAUAUGAUAAAGCUCUGUGGCAUCUUGAAAAAACUCAAACAGCACAAAAUGAGCAUGCAUGCUUCAAACAUGGUGUACACAUCAAACAUACUGAUAUGCUUCCUAUAUAUAACAAUUUUCAUAUGGUGGAGGAUCCCUAUGAAUGUAAUAAAUGCCUGACUUUUUGUCAUCCAUUCCAUAGGCAACAGGAGCAAAUUCCUAAUGGAGAGAAAUGUCAUGAAUGUAAUCAAUGUGGGAAAGCCUUCAAAAGACUUUGUAAUCUUACUUUGCAUAAGAAAUGUCACAUGGGCAAAAAAACAAUAUGAAUGUAAAGAAUAUGGGAAAGUCUUCAACGAUUCUUCAACCCAAAGGAGACACGAGACACGUGAGAACUCACACUGGAGAAAAUGUGGGAAAGUCUUCAGUCAGAGACUUUCACUUAUAAACAAGAGAAUUCAUACUGGAAGAGUAACUCUAUGAAUAGAGCUGAAGGAGCUGUUUGUGACCGUGAGAACGACAACCAUGGCCGAAGGAGGUAUAGAAGGAGAUCCUGGUUCCUCAGAGACCUCUAAAUAGCUGUACCAGCACUAUACUACUUGUAUCUGGUUACUUCUAUGUGAUAAAAUCAGUGUUUAUGUGCCACUGCAUUGUGUAUCAAAAGGAGUGAAAUGCCCCAGCAUUGGUGAGGGUGCAGCAUUCUUCUUGAGGUUACUGAUGGAAGCACAAAUUAAUACAGAUUUUCUGUGGGACAGAAAGAGAAAAGAAAAUAAAAGAAAAGAAAAGAGAAAAAAGAAAAAGAACGAAUGAAUGAACGAGCACUAAGAUGAGUGUUAUCAACCACAACUCCUCAAUCUUCUUCAGGUCUUGUAUCUAGUCAAUCUCCAAGUCCAAUCUCCACAUCCUUAGGUUAGCAGCCUGUACAGGGAAGCCUCCCUUCCCUGAACACUUCCACAGUUCCACAGUUCGUGUGAUGAUUAAAUCCAGACCAGGUUAUAGAGACAACUCUUAAGUGGUAGCCCUGUUUCCUAAUCUUGCUUCCAAUAAAUGUGUUUUCCAAACCUCAGCUAAAUAAAAUGCUUGUAGUGAAAGGGAAUAUAAGGGAAGGGAGAAGAAAUGUGUGGGAAAUAUCAGAAAGGGAGACAGAACAUAAAGACUCCUAACUCUGGGAAACGAA
This is a long non-coding RNA of Canis lupus familiaris (dog), 1169 nucleotides long. RefSeq lists it as uncharacterized. The record is from RefSeq and is a predicted model, not a curated record. NCBI's taxonomy places the organism in Eukaryota, Metazoa, Chordata, Mammalia, Carnivora, Canidae. The transcript has 5 exons.